Molecule: long non-coding RNA, 1399 nt
Organism: Mauremys mutica (yellowpond turtle)
Lineage: Eukaryota; Metazoa; Chordata; Testudines; Geoemydidae
Exons: 3
Source: RefSeq, a predicted model, not a curated record
UAUGUGGUGCCAUCAGCCAUUUUGAAAAAAAUGUGUGUGUGUGUUUGACUAGGGGAAGUGUUGUCUAUGUUUGUGCUUGGGUACAUGGAGAGAAAAAGGUUGAAGGAAGAGUGUGAGAGAGUGUGAAGAGGAAAAAAGAAAGUGAGUGAGGUUUAGAGGAAAAAAAGGAAAUUUGAAAGAAGAGAGCCGGGAGCCCCAACUACUGCCAUGAAGACCACUGUGUUCCAGAAAGAACAUCAACCCAAUGCUUCCAAAGUGACCUACUCAGGGUGCCGCUUGCCCCCAUCCGGCCAGGAGGGGAGGUCGUUGGUACGGUUUGCGUCCAGAUUGCGUCCAGACUGCGGGGCAGACACAGCAGUAGCUGACCACAUCCCCGUUCCUGUAGCAUCGCUGGGUCCUUUGUUAAGGGCAGAUGGCAGCAGCUGAAAAGGAGCUUUACAUCUUGUGCCACAAGAAUCUUGUUCAAGCAGGAAGACAACGGAAGGCAGAAGGCAAACGUUGAGCCCCCUCUGAAUUCUCCCUGGCGCUCUGAAGCAAAGCAGUCACGCUGAAGGCAACUAUUCUCCAGUCUUCGCUGGGGGCCCAAUCCUGGGACGUGCUGAGGUCACUUAACGGCACUCAGGACCCUUCCAGGAUCAGGCCCCAUAAUUCCAUAUGCCAGGCUGUUAUUAUCACGUAGCAUUUAUACUGCACUGGUGCCUAAACCCCAGCCAGGCCUGGGGCCAGCUGUGCUGGGGACUCCAGCAGACAGAGCUCGUGUCUUCCUGUAUGCAAACCACACAUGCUGAAAUCAGAGCACGGGGAAAAGCUAACCUUAGCGUGGUAUCAAAGCACCACGCCAGCUGUCAGAGACACGGUGUCUGGUGCCCCUUUGUGACACGCUGCAGGCACAGAAGGGUCUGUGGGACUGUGAAGAACAGAGGAGACAUGGGGAUUUUUUUCAGGAAUUGUCUCUCUGAUUGCAAUCGUGCCGCCUGCCCCAUGGCUGCAAAGGGUUAACUCAGUCCUCGGUGGCUUUGUUCUGCGGGAACUGGCGUCAGGGCUAUAGACAGCCCCAGCCCCAGUGCAUAACACACAGUACAGGGGCCAAGGCCUGGGACGUGUGGUCUCCAUCCAAACUGGACACGACGUGCUGGUGGCUUGUGGCAAGAAGUGGGGCAGUGGGUGGAUGCACCCAAAGGGCCUGGCUGGUUUAAAGAGACGCUCCCUGCAGCUCCCAGAGAAGCAGGGUCUGCAGAGAAAGAGCCUGUCAGCUGCCCCAGAAGAGCAGGGGGACCAGGGUGCAGUCGGGCCUAGCUAAUUCUGGAGAGAAAUUCUAAACGUAGAUCAGACAGUGUGUGUGCUGGGAGGGGGAGGGGGAGACCUUUUGCUACUUGAACCCCUUUGCCAUGGGUGGCAA